CUGGCCGGAGCUAGGGCUCGGCCAUGGGAAAGAAGGGGGAAGGAGGAAGGGGAGCCGGCUGGUGGAGAUGGGAGAGCUCGGCUCCAUGCAGAUAUGGAGCUCGCCAUUUGGAGCAGUGGCAGGGGGCGUCCUUGGCUGCUGGGCGAGCUCGGCAUGGAGAAGCUGCUUGCUGCCGUGAUGCGGGAGGAAGAAGGGGCGCCCUGCUCUUGCAUGUUGGGAAGAAGGGGAGGACGCCGGGAGGGCGCCGGGCCAUGGCUGGCCGAGGGGAGGAGCUCCUGCCGUCAACCCUGCACACGCAGAGAAAGCAACGGCCAAGGGGAGAGCAGGGGGGCGCUAGGCCAAGGUCCGGCUAGAGGUGGAAGAAGGCUUGGGCGCCAUGGAGAGGAAGGGAGCCGAGCUCCCUGCGCGCUGGGGAAGAAGGUGCUGCUGCGCGUGGGGGAAGAAGACAGGGAGGCUGUGGCGGCUGGAAAUUGUUGA
This 477-nucleotide unclassified non-coding RNA is filed under the name Zea mays. RNAcentral describes it as "misc RNA Zm00001eb132120". The record is from RNAcentral. Lineage: Eukaryota; Viridiplantae; Streptophyta; Magnoliopsida; Poales; Poaceae.